This 603-nucleotide ribosomal RNA is filed under the name Escherichia coli. Its description in RNAcentral is "partial 23S ribosomal RNA". It matches the Rfam family "Bacterial large subunit ribosomal RNA", at positions 587 to 1191 of the family's 2925-position model. Lineage: Bacteria; Pseudomonadati; Pseudomonadota; Gammaproteobacteria; Enterobacterales; Enterobacteriaceae. The record is from RNAcentral.
AAUGGGGUGACUGCGUACCUUUUGUAUAAUGGGUCAGCGACUUAUAUUCUGUAGCAAGGUUAACCGAAUAGGGGAGCCGAAGGGAAACCGAGUCUUAACUGGGCGUUAAGUUGCAGGGUAUAGACCCGAAACCCGGUGAUCUAGCCAUGGGCAGGUUGAAGGUUGGGUAACACUAACUGGAGGACCGAACCGACUAAUGUUGAAAAAUUAGCGGAUGACUUGUGGCUGGGGGUGAAAGGCCAAUCAAACCGGGAGAUAGCUGGUUCUCCCCGAAAGCUAUUUAGGUAGCGCCUCGUGAAUUCAUCUCCGGGGGUAGAGCACUGUUUCGGCAAGGGGGUCAUCCCGACUUACCAACCCGAUGCAAACUGCGAAUACCGGAGAAUGUUAUCACGGGAGACACACGGCGGGUGCUAACGUCCGUCGUGAAGAGGGAAACAACCCAGACCGCCAGCUAAGGUCCCAAAGUCAUGGUUAAGUGGGAAACGAUGUGGGAAGGCCCAGACAGCCAGGAUGUUGGCUUAGAAGCAGCCAUCAUUUAAAGAAAGCGUAAUAGCUCACUGGUCGAGUCGGCCUGCGCGGAAGAUGUAACGGGGCUAAACCAUG